AAUAGAUACCCGGUAGUCCACGCCGUAAACGAUGAGUGCUAAGUGUUAGGGGUUUCCGCCCCUUAGUGCUGCAGCUAACGCAUUAAGCACUCCGCCUGGGGAGUACGGCCGCAAGGCUGAAACUCAAAGGAAUUGACGGGGGCCCGCACAAGCGGUGGAGCAUGUGGUUUAAUUCGAAGCAACGCGAAGAACCUUACCAGGUCUUGACAUCCUCUGACAACCCUAGAGAUAGGGCGUUCCCCUUCGGGGGACAGAGUGACAGGUGGUGCAUGGUUGUCGUCAGCUCGUGUCGUGAGAUGUUGGGUUAAGUCCCGCAACGAGCGCAACCCUUGAUCUUAGUUGCCAGCAUUCAGUUGGGCACUCUAAGGUGACUGCCGGUGACAAACCGGAGGAAGGUGGGGAUGACGUCAAAUCAUCAUGCCCCUUAUGACCUGGGCUACACACGUGCUACAAUGGAUGGUACAAAGGGCUGCCAAACCGCGAGGUUGAGCGAAUCCCAUAAAACCAUUCUCAGUUCGGAUUGCAGG
Molecule: ribosomal RNA, 527 nt
Filed under: uncultured bacterium
Lineage: Bacteria
Description: bacterial SSU rRNA
Rfam family: Bacterial small subunit ribosomal RNA
Source: RNAcentral